CUACGGGACGCUGCAGUGGGGAAUUUUGCACAAUGGGGGAAACCCUGAUGCAGCGACGCCGCGUGCGGGAAGAAGGCCUUAGGGUUGUAAACCGCUUUCAAUUGUGAAGAAGGGAUGAGAGUUAAUAGCUUUCUGACUUGACGGUAGCAUUAGAAGAAGCACCGGCUAAUUUCGUGCCAGCAGCCGCGGUAAUACGAAAGGUGCAAGCGUUGUUCGGAUUUACUGGGCGUAAAGAGAUCGUAGGUGGUUUAUUAAGUCGGAUGUGAAAUCCCGGAGCUCAACUUCGGAACUGCAUUCGAUACUGGUAGGCUAGAGUUCGGGAGGGGAAAGCGGAAUUCCGUGUGUAGCAGUGAAAUGCGUAGAUAUACGGAGGAACACCUGAGGCGAAGGCGGCUUUCUGGACCGAUACUGACACUGAGGAUCGAAAGCGUGGGUAGCAAACAGGAUUAGAUACCCCGGUAGUC
RNAcentral lists this ribosomal RNA (464 nucleotides) under uncultured bacterium. RNAcentral describes it as "partial 16S ribosomal RNA". It matches the Rfam family "Bacterial small subunit ribosomal RNA", at positions 339 to 795 of the family's 1533-position model. The record is from RNAcentral.